RNAcentral lists this ribosomal RNA (300 nucleotides) under uncultured Alteromonadales bacterium. RNAcentral's name for it is "bacterial SSU rRNA". It matches the Rfam family "Bacterial small subunit ribosomal RNA", at positions 114 to 418 of the family's 1533-position model. The record is from RNAcentral. Lineage: Bacteria; Pseudomonadati; Pseudomonadota; Gammaproteobacteria; Alteromonadales.
CGCGUAGGAAUCUACCUAGUAGUGGGGACAACUUGGUGAAACCAAGCUAAUACCGCAUACGCCCUACGGGGAAAAGCGGGGGAGUCUUCGGACCUCGUGCUAUUAGAUGAGCCUGCGUAAGAUUAGCUAGUUGGUGGGGUAAAGGCCUACCAAGGCGACGAUCUUUAGCUGGUCUGAGAGGAUGAUCAGCCACACUGGGACUGAGACACGGACCAGACUCCUACGGGAGGCAGCAGUGAGGAAUAUUGGACAAUGGAGGCAACUCUGAUCCAGCCAUGCCGCGUGCAGGAAGACUGCCCU